Cygnus olor (mute swan) is the source of this 1175-nucleotide long non-coding RNA. RefSeq lists it as uncharacterized. NCBI's taxonomy places the organism in Eukaryota, Metazoa, Chordata, Aves, Anseriformes, Anatidae. The transcript is spliced from 3 exons. The record is from RefSeq and is a predicted model, not a curated record.
UGCAGUAUAAUUAGCCAGUGAUACUGGCUGUAGCUUCAUGUAAGUAAGUACUCAUGUGAGACUAGCAGAUGACUGCACACAUGCAGUUUCAAACCACUACUCUUGAAGGAUGCCAAAGGCACAGAUGAAUAACAGGGCAUCACAUCCACACAGCAAGAGCUGUUAAGCACAUGUAUGACUUUACGCACACGUGUGACUCCUGCUUACUCCUAGGUGCAUGCAUUGGUUGCUAUAUGCGUGCUCCUUUAGGAGAAUCAUUCCCAGAAGAUGGAAUCUAUUCCAGUUCAGGCAGGGUAGAGAUCAGGCUGUAGGGUGGCUGGGAAUGUUCCUGCUUUAGGCUCAGAUGGCAGUUGACACUUUAUCUCCUUAAAUAAAGAAAUGUUUUUCUGUAGAGAUAUGUGGAGAAUAUCUUUAUAUCGGUAGCACUCUUCUAGCCCAAAGCACUCUACAAAUAUUAUUUAUGAAUUCCUGUAGACAUGCCUAUGAAGCAGGAUUGUAUUCUUCUCUUACAGAUGUAAGAAUCAGGGAAAGCAACUGACCCAGCUCACCUAGGCAGGAAGUUUCAGACCAGAAUUAAGACCACAAGCAACAGCUGGUCUUUACUGUAGAGCACUCUUCUCUCAAAUCAUCUCAAGCUCUAACAAGACAGUAACUGGAAGAAAAAUGCCAAUGCUGCUAGCAAGGUGUCAAUACAGGGAAUUUACAGAACAGUCCAGAAUCUAGGACGACGCUUCAGAAGUAUCGCAUGAGCCCUAAGGAGUCCACAGUCCUGAUUUGCAGGAAAAGAGAUACUUAUUUAUUAUCAUCUGUUAAAUGUUUUAGUAUCAGAUUAUCUGGAAACUAAUGUUGAACAGGUAAACUGCUAUAAUCCUGUUUUUACUUCAGUUCUGUUGUGUCCUUAUAAGCACCAAUACUAACUAAGCACUCAAGCACUAACAAACAAGGUCACUGCUAUCAGUGACUGCACGUUUAUGGGAAGCUUGUCUAACCCGUGACGUUGCUAAAACAUCCUAUUUUUGUAUUUUGAAGCACUGGAUUGUAUACAUAGCCAUUACUUUCAGAAAGUUUCGCUUGUUGAAACUUCACAAGCAGACUUCACAGUGUUAUUGACUGGCAAAGUCUAGGAAGAGUCACCUAUUUGGUGUUCAUUUGUGUAUCUUAAAAAAUGAAAAACA